GACUCGGUAGCGGACGGUCCGCAUCUGCAUAAUAUAUAGGCCUCCUUCGACGACUACAAUAUUCUGCAGAAGUCGCCUGUUCAACUCAGGCCCGAGUCA
Mycena vulgaris is the source of this 99-nucleotide non-coding RNA. NCBI's taxonomy places the organism in Eukaryota, Fungi, Basidiomycota, Agaricomycetes, Agaricales, Mycenaceae. The record is from the annotation of a GenBank genome assembly.